This is a transfer RNA of 71 nucleotides. It matches the Rfam family "tRNA". From Rfam's summary of the family: Transfer RNA (tRNA) molecules are approximately 80 nucleotides in length. Their secondary structure includes four short double-helical elements and three loops (D, anti-codon, and T loops). Further hydrogen bonds mediate the characteristic L-shaped molecular structure. tRNAs have two regions of fundamental functional importance: the anti-codon, which is responsible for specific mRNA codon recognition, and the 3' end, to which the tRNAs corresponding amino acid is attached (by aminoacyl-tRNA synthetases). tRNAs cope with the degeneracy of the genetic code in two manners: having more than one tRNA (with a specific anti-codon) for a particular amino acid; and 'wobble' base-pairing, i.e. permitting non-standard base-pairing at the 3rd anti-codon position.
CUAAAAAGAAGCAUGGAGGAAUUGCGGAGGGUUUUGAUCUCUUAGACGUAGGUUCAAUUCCUACCUUUUUA